Molecule: long non-coding RNA, 744 nt
Organism: Melanotaenia boesemani (Boeseman's rainbowfish)
Lineage: Eukaryota; Metazoa; Chordata; Actinopteri; Atheriniformes; Melanotaeniidae
Exons: 2
Source: RefSeq, a predicted model, not a curated record
CAGAGUCCAAUCUUUAUGCUCCCUAACAAAUUGAAGCCCUUUUCUCCGGUUAGUCUCGAUGAUUGAUUAGUGGUUUUCUUAUGGCGUCACAUCUGUUCCGUCCCAAUCCCUUUCAUUUUAUUCGCGUUGUGCUUGUGGAAAUGCUUUUACUGUCACUAUUAAACAUAAGAUGAGAUCACCAUCAUUCAGGAUUUUUUCCCGACUACAUUUCUUGCUCACUAUUCUCACUAUCCUUCCAGUUUUUUAAUGUGUUGGACAGUUCUUAACCCAAUUUUAGUAGUUUCUCCAAUCUCCUUAGAUGUUUUCUCAGCUUGAUGCAAGUCAGUGCUUUAACCCUUAUUUAAACAGACUAACACCUUUUCCACAACCAUGGGAUGUCUGUUGACAUGGUUGUUUAAGAAAUGAGAAGCGAAUCAUUGCAUUGGUUGGGGUUUAAUAACUUGUUACUUGCUGAAAGAUAAUCCCCUAUGCAGUAAUUAUCCAAUAGGAGGCUCGUAGCUUUUUGCUUAACUAAAUCCAGAUGACAACUUUACUCAUUUACUUGAAUGUUCAGUAAGAGUGUCUCACAUGUCAACAUAACUCUUACCCUCUUUUAGCAUCCUUUUAGAUGGACAAACAGAAAACAAUCAUGUGAUCAUCUCAUCAUCAUCAGCAAACAUCUGAUUAAAAAAAAAAAAAUGAAAUUGAAAAGUAUGCUUGGUAUUGACCGUUGGGGAAAGAUGAGACCAUCUGAUGUAAACUCAU